AUGACUGUAGGUUAUAAAAUGAGGUGCAAAUGAUUGAAUCUGUGAAGUUUACAUCAAUCUUUUUUAAAAAUUUGGUUAUGUUAUGCUUUGGCACCUUAUAUGCUCGAUUAAAUGCCAAACGGCCCAAACCUGUUGUAUUGUCAAGAACUUUGCUGUGUUCGUGCAAUUGAUUUGGGUUUCUUGUGUCUCGUCUGUCUCUACCAUACACACAGUUUAAAAGUUUUGGAAUGUAAUGAUCUGCUGUGUUCGCCAUCUAUUACAGUUUCUUUUUAAAUGAUAUUAAUUACAUUAUCCUCAUGUCCAUAGCUAAUUUAAUGAAAGAAUUUAAUCUUAUGUUUCAACUGGUCCACAACAUACGAUGAUUUACUAACAACCAGUCAGCUUUUUCCACAACCAAUCACAUUACCUGAGAUGGUUGAUUUUUUAGUUGAUAUCUGGCAUGAAGAGGGGCUUUACGAUUAGAUCCGAAGAUUAUCUUCUUGGGGCGAUGAACUUUGGAAGUUACAUAUAGAUAGAAGAACCCAACUAGUCAAACAUGCCCCGGCAUCUCUGAAUCAUUUGGAAGCAAGUAGAGAGUUAUAUGAUCUCUCUAUGAUGGAAGAAUUUAAGCUAGAGAGCAUGGCCCAUCUCAGAUAUGGUGAACAAGCUCCUUCAAUUUAGGAAGUAUUUUAAUUCAUACAAACAAUGUUUUUGAUUCAUACAAACAAGCCCAUCUCUCUCUGAUGGCUUUUCUGUUAUAGAGGCUAUUAUUUGAAAAAACUCCAAUUUCAAGAUUGUUUUUACUUUUGAUGUAUUUGAGUGGAUUCCAGACAACCCAAUCUGCAUUACUGAAGUGCAUACAAAUUUCUUUGGUGUAUGAUAUCAGUCAGCUGAGAAUUGGAUCUGCUCAGAAUAUUGUGUCCCACCUGGAACCAGAAUCUCCAGUUAGUAAAAAAGCAUCAGAUCAGUCAUCAGAGCAACCACAACAACAGCCACAACAAGCAGAAAUGAAACUGAUCUCAAUGCCCCACCCUUUUUUAGAUAUUUGCACCCCUUCUUCUUCUUCUUCUUCUUUUGGUGGAGAUUUUGUCACAAAUCACGUGGAGAUCACCAUGGCAUUUCUCAUCUAUAUACUUCUUCUUCCUUCUUCCUUCUUCCUUCUUCUUCUUCUUCUUCUUCUUCUUCUCUCUUUUUAACUUUUGAAAUUGGGAUUUUGGGGGGUUCUUUUAUUUGGU
Molecule: long non-coding RNA, 1214 nt
Organism: Magnolia sinica
Lineage: Eukaryota; Viridiplantae; Streptophyta; Magnoliopsida; Magnoliales; Magnoliaceae
Exons: 3
Source: RefSeq, a predicted model, not a curated record